UCUUUGUUAGUAUAUCGGUUAGUACACGCGCCUGUCAUAGCAAAAAAAUUGAAUGCAUAUAGUGACCGCGCGAAAGCUGGGUUCGAUUCCCAGACAGAGAG
Hebeloma cylindrosporum is the source of this 101-nucleotide non-coding RNA. NCBI's taxonomy places the organism in Eukaryota, Fungi, Basidiomycota, Agaricomycetes, Agaricales, Hymenogastraceae. The record is from the annotation of a GenBank genome assembly.